Molecule: ribosomal RNA, 535 nt
Filed under: Salmonella enterica subsp. enterica serovar Typhimurium
Lineage: Bacteria; Pseudomonadati; Pseudomonadota; Gammaproteobacteria; Enterobacterales; Enterobacteriaceae
Also listed under: 1 other name
Description: partial 23S ribosomal RNA
Rfam family: Bacterial large subunit ribosomal RNA
Source: RNAcentral
GGUUAAGCGACUAAGCGUACACGGUGGAUGCCCUGGCAGUCAGAGGCGAUGAAGGACGUGCUAAUCUGCGAUAAGCGCCGGUAAGGUGAUAUGAACCGUUAUAACCGGCGAUUUCCGAAUGGGGAAACCCAGUGUGAUUCGUCACACUAUCAUUAACUGAAUCCAUAGGUUAAUGAGGCGAACCGGGGGAACUGAAACAUCUAAGUACCCCGAGGAAAAGAAAUCAACCGAGAUUCCCCCAGUAGCGGCGAGCGAACGGGGAGGAGCCCAGAGCCUGAAUCAGCAUGUGUGUUAGUGGAAGCGUCUGGAAAGGCGCGCGAUACAGGGUGACAGCCCCGUACACAAAAGCGCAUGUGCUGUGAGCUCGAUGAGUAGGGCGGGACACGUGGUAUCCUGUCUGAAUAUGGGGGGACCAUCCUCCAAGGCUAAAUACUCCUGACUGACCGAUAGUGAACCAGUACCGUGAGGGAAAGGCGAAAAGAACCCCGGCGAGGGGAGUGAAAAAGAACCUGAAACCGUGUACGUACAAGCAGUG